This 774-nucleotide ribosomal RNA is filed under the name Rothia mucilaginosa. Its description in RNAcentral is "bacterial SSU rRNA". It matches the Rfam family "Bacterial small subunit ribosomal RNA", at positions 28 to 776 of the family's 1533-position model. Lineage: Bacteria; Bacillati; Actinomycetota; Actinomycetes; Micrococcales; Micrococcaceae. The record is from RNAcentral.
GACGAACGCUGGCGGCGCGCUUAACACAUGCAAGUCGAGCGAUGAAAUUUCGACAGAUCCCUUCGGGGUGAAGAUGAAAUGGAUUAGCGGCGGACGGGUGAGUAACACGUGAGUAACCUGCCUUAGACAUUGGGAUAGCCUCGGGAAACCGGGAUUAAUACCAAAUGAAAUCACAUAUGCACAUGCAUAAAUGAUCAAAGCUCCGGCGGUCUAAGAUGGACUCGCGUCCCAUUAGCUAGUUGGUGAGGUAACGGCCCACCAAGGCGACGAUACAUAGCCGACCUGAGAGGGUGAUCGGCCACACUGGGACUGAGACACGGCCCAGACUCCUACGGGAGGCAGCAGUAGGGAAUCUUCGGCAAUGGGGGGAACCCUGACCGAGCAACGCCGCGUGAGUGAAGAAGGUUUUCGGAUCGUAAAGCUCUGUUGUUAAGGAAGAACGAGUGUGAGAAUGGAAAGUUCAUGCUGUGACGGUACUUAACCAGAAAGGGACGGCUAACUACGUGCCAGCAGCCGCGGUAAUACGUAGGUCCCGAGCGUUGUCCGGAUUUAUUGGGCGUAAAGCGAGCGCAGGCGGUUAGAAAAGUCUGAAGUGAAAGGCAGUGGCUCAACCAUUGUAGGCUUUGGAAACUGUUUAACUUGAGUGCAGAAGGGGAGAGUGGAAUUCCAUGUGUAGCGGUGAAAUGCGUAGAUAUAUGGAGGAACACCGGUGGCGAAAGCGGCUCUCUGGUCUGUAACUGACGCUGAGGCUCGAAAGCGUGGGGAGCGAACAGG